UUGUAGUCAUAUGCUUGUCUCAAAGAUUAAGCCAUGCAUGUCUAAGUAUAAGCAAUUAUACCGUGAAACUGCGAAUGGCUCAUUAAAUCAGUUAUCGUUUAUUUGAUAGUACCUUACUACUUGGAUAACCGUGGUAAUUCUAGAGCUAAUACAUGCUAAAAACCCCAACUUCGGGAGGGGUGUAUUUAUUAGAUAAAAAACCAAUGCCCUUCGGGGCUCUUUGGUGAUUCAUGAUAACUUAACGGAUCGCAUGGCCUUGCGCCGGCGACGGUUCAUUCAAAUUUCUGCCCUAUCAACUUUCGAUGGUAAGGUAUUGGCUUACCAUGGUUUCAACGGGUAACGGGGAAUUAGGGUUCGAUUCCGGAGAGGGAGCCUGAGAAACGGCUACCACAUCCAAGGAAGGCAGCAGGCGCGCAAAUUACCCAAUCCCGACACGGGGAGGUAGUGACAAUAAAUACUGAUACAGGGCUCUUUUGGGUCUUGUAAUCGGAAUGAGUACAAUUUAAACCUCUUAACGAGGAACA
Molecule: ribosomal RNA, 524 nt
Filed under: uncultured Ascomycota
Lineage: Eukaryota; Fungi; Ascomycota
Description: SSU rRNA
Rfam family: Eukaryotic small subunit ribosomal RNA
Source: RNAcentral